AUUCUUAGGUACCAGUGGGAAACUUUGAGGGUGUUUAUGUUAAAUUGUUUGCUUGGGUUGUAGGGGUUUAUUACCUUUUUAUUGGGAGAGAUGAUUCUUAUUUUAAUUUGCGGAUUAUUGUGGGUUUGAAAUUAAAUCCGAAAUCAAUUAUUGUAAGGGAAUUCUUCUUGUUUGAUUGUUUGUGGUGUAUACCGGAGUUAG
This 201-nucleotide long non-coding RNA is filed under the name Capsicum annuum. RNAcentral's name for it is "long non-coding RNA (CANN_LNC015813)". Lineage: Eukaryota; Viridiplantae; Streptophyta; Magnoliopsida; Solanales; Solanaceae. The record is from RNAcentral.